GACGAACGCUGGCGGCGUGCUUAACACAUGCAAGUCGAACGGAAAGGCCCUGCUUUUGUGGGGUGCUCGAGUGGCGAACGGGUGAGUAGCACGUGAGUAACCUGCCCUUGACUUUGGGAUAACUUCAGGAAACUGGGGCUAAUACCGGAUAGGAGCUCCUGCUGCAUGGUGGGGGUUGGAAAGUUUCGGCGGUUGGGGAUGGACUCGCGGCUUAUCAGCUUGUUGGUGGGGUAGUGGCUUACCAAGGCUUUGACGGGUAGCCGGCCUGAGAGGGUGACCGGCCACAUUGGGACUGAGAUACGGCCCAGACUGCUACGGGAGGCAGCAGUGGGGAAUAUUACACAAUGGGCGGAAGCCUGAUGCAGCAACGCCGCGUGCGGGAUGCCGGCCUUCGGGUUGUAAACCGCUUUCGCCUGUGACGAAGCGUGAGUGACGGUAAUGGGUAAAGAAGCACCGGCUAACUACGUG
RNAcentral lists this ribosomal RNA (468 nucleotides) under uncultured bacterium. RNAcentral's name for it is "partial 16S ribosomal RNA". It matches the Rfam family "Bacterial small subunit ribosomal RNA", at positions 28 to 507 of the family's 1533-position model. The record is from RNAcentral.